ACGGGCUCUUCGGAGCUAGUGGCGGACGGGUGAGUAACGCGUGAGAAUCUGGCUUCAGGUUCGGGACAACAGUUGGAAACGGCUGCUAAUACCGGAUGUGCCUAAGGGUGAAAGAUUUAUCACCUGAAGAUGAGCUCGCGUCUGAUUAGCUAGUAGGUGUGGUAAGAGCGCACCUAGGCGACGAUCAGUAGCUGGUCUGAGAGGAUGAUCAGCCACACUGGGACUGAGACACGGCCCAGACUCCUACGGGAGGCAGCAGUGGGGAAUUUUCCGCAAUGGGCGAAAGCCUGACGGAGCAAUACCGCGUGAGGGAGGAAGGCUCUUGGGUUGUAAACCUCUUUUCUCAGGGAAGAAUGAUGACGGUACCUGAGGAAUAAGCAUCGGCUAACUCCGUGCCAGCAGCCGCGGUAAUACGGAGGAUGCAAGCGUUAUCCGGAAUGAUUGGGCGUAAAGCGUCCGCAGGUGGCAAUGUAAGUCUGCUGUCAAAGCGUCUGGCUCAACCAGAUAAAGGCAGUGGAAACUACAUAGCUAGAGUAAGGUAGGGGUAGAGGGAAUUCCUGGUGUAGCGGUGAAAUGCGUAGAGAUCAGGAAGAACACCGGUGGCGAAAGCGCUCUGCUGGACCUUAACUGACACUGAGGGACGAAAGCUAGGGGAGCGAAUGGGAUUAGAUACCCCAGUAGUCCUAGCCGUAAACGAUGGAUACUAG
RNAcentral lists this ribosomal RNA (707 nucleotides) under uncultured cyanobacterium. RNAcentral describes it as "bacterial SSU rRNA". It matches the Rfam family "Bacterial small subunit ribosomal RNA", at positions 66 to 819 of the family's 1533-position model. Lineage: Bacteria; Bacillati; Cyanobacteriota. The record is from RNAcentral.